This 441-nucleotide ribosomal RNA is filed under the name uncultured Syntrophomonas sp. Its description in RNAcentral is "bacterial SSU rRNA". It matches the Rfam family "Bacterial small subunit ribosomal RNA", at positions 942 to 1382 of the family's 1533-position model. Lineage: Bacteria; Bacillati; Bacillota; Clostridia; Eubacteriales; Syntrophomonadaceae. The record is from RNAcentral.
UGGUUUAAUUCGAUGCAACGCGAAGAACCUUACCAGGUCUUGACAUCCCACGAAUUCAUCUGAAAGGAUGGAGUGCCUUCGGGAGCGUGGAGACAGGUGGUGCAUGGUUGUCGUCAGCUCGUGUCGUGAGAUGUUGGGUUAAGUCCCGCAACGAGCGCAACCCUUGCUAUUAGUUGCUAACAGGUAGAGCUGAGCACUCUAAUGGGACUGCCGGUGACAAGCCGGAGGAAGGUGGGGAUGACGUCAAAUCAUCAUGCCCUUUAUGACCUGGGCUACACACGUGCUACAAUGGAUGGUACAGAGAGCAGCGAGGCAGCGAUGUGGAGCGAAUCUCAAAAAGCCAUUCUCAGUUCGGAUUGGAGUCUGCAACUCGACUCCAUGAAGUCGGAAUCGCUAGUAAUCGCGAAUCAGCACGCCGCGGUGAAUACGUUCCCGGGCCUU